UACGGAGGGUGCAAGCGUUAUCCGGAUUUAUUGGGUUUAAAGGGUCCGUAGGCGGAUCAGUAAGUCAGUGGUGAAAUCUUAUAGCUUAACUAUAAAACUGCCGUUGAUACUGCUGGUCUUGAGUAAAUUUGAAGUAGCUGGAAUAAGUAGUGUAGCGGUGAAAUGCAUAGAUAUUACUUAGAACACCAAUUGCGAAGGCAGGUUACUAAGAUUUAACUGACGCUGAGGGACGAAAGCGUGGGGAGCGAACAGG
This 253-nucleotide ribosomal RNA is filed under the name uncultured bacterium. Its description in RNAcentral is "partial 16S ribosomal RNA". It matches the Rfam family "Bacterial small subunit ribosomal RNA", at positions 524 to 776 of the family's 1533-position model. The record is from RNAcentral. RNAcentral also lists the same sequence under 1 other name.